Molecule: long non-coding RNA, 505 nt
Organism: Nycticebus coucang (slow loris)
Lineage: Eukaryota; Metazoa; Chordata; Mammalia; Primates; Lorisidae
Exons: 3
Source: RefSeq, a predicted model, not a curated record
CCUAGUACAAAAGAACCGUCGCUGGUGGCCGGCCUCCUCCUUCCGGCACGUCGGGAGCCGGGGAUACGAAAGUGGCCGCCGCCAGGGGCGGUAGCGGGUCGGCGACCGGAGAACCACAGAACCCCUGAGUCAGAAAACGAAGGUGGAGGGUCGCUUCGGUUAGACAAGGUCUUGCUCCGUCAGCCAGCCUGGAGUGCAGCGGCAUCAUUAUAAUUCACUUCAACAUGUAACUCUCCAGCUGAAUGGAAUAUUCCUGCCUUGGCCUGCUGAGUAGCUGGGACUUUUGAGAGAAGUCUCACUAUGUUGUCCAGACUGGUCUCCAACUCUUGGGCCCAAGUGAUCCUCCUACCUCAGUCUCCGAACAUGCUAGAGUUACAGAUCCUCUUCUGGUUUGGGGACACUUUGAAGAUGUGACACUUGUGCCUGCUAUAGCUGUCCAGCAUCCAUGAGGCUUCUUUCUAAGCAGAAACCAACGGCCUGCCAGAAUGGGAAGAAGACAGAGCAU